Long non-coding RNA from Ictalurus punctatus (channel catfish), 548 nucleotides. RefSeq lists it as uncharacterized. The record is from RefSeq and is a predicted model, not a curated record. The transcript is spliced from 4 exons. Lineage: Eukaryota; Metazoa; Chordata; Actinopteri; Siluriformes; Ictaluridae.
UUCUAAUUCUAAAUUCUUGAAGAUUCCUACCGGUCAGUGGUAAGGCUUCAUUGGUCUUUCACUCUGCACUAAAGGGCAAAUUGCCUGUGUGUUAACACUUACUUCAGGGUGAAACUUUUCCACGAACGUCCUCCGGUUUGCUUGUUGUCCAGAAAAGCUUAAAGACUCACGCAGCCCAGUCAGGAGACGCCAAAUUGUCGUGAACAUUAGACAACACUCGCAGACUCGUCCUCUGAAGAAUUUGAUGAGCCAUGGAGGAUAAUGCCUUGGGAGAGCAAACGCUUCUUGGAGGAAAAACUGAGGAACUUUGAGCUCUGCAGUACUGAUGUUAAGUUUGACAGGAUUCUGGUUGUUGGUGAAGUUGGAGCAGGAAAGUCCAGCUUCAUUAAUGCAGUCAAUAACGCUUUCCAAGAGCGAAUCACCAGUGGGGCUCUUGUUGAUGGAAGAUCUGUAACCAGUUGCACAAAAAUUACAAAAGUUUUCAAGCUCAGGACUGGUUCAGAGAUACAAUCCCUGGUCCUCUUGAAAAAGUCGGUCUUUGGCUCGCU